Molecule: transfer RNA, 74 nt
Organism: Enterococcus ratti
Lineage: Bacteria; Bacillati; Bacillota; Bacilli; Lactobacillales; Enterococcaceae
Rfam family: tRNA
About the family: Transfer RNA (tRNA) molecules are approximately 80 nucleotides in length. Their secondary structure includes four short double-helical elements and three loops (D, anti-codon, and T loops).
Source: Rfam
GUACCCUUAGCUCAGUUGGUUAGAGCUGACGGCUCAUAACCGUCCGGUCGUAGGUUCGAGUCCUACAGGGUACA